This 332-nucleotide unclassified non-coding RNA is filed under the name soil metagenome. RNAcentral's name for it is "partial contains 5.8S ribosomal RNA, internal transcribed spacer 2, and large subunit ribosomal RNA". The stretch from base 1 to 120 matches the Rfam family "5.8S ribosomal RNA", at positions 35 to 154 of the family's 154-position model. The record is from RNAcentral.
GAUGAAGAACGUAGCGAAAUGCGAUACGUAAUGUGAAUUGCAGAUUUCAGUGAAUCAUCGAAUCUUUGAACGCACAUUGCGCCCGCCAGUAUUCUGGCGGGCAUGCCUGUUCGAGCGUCAUUUCAACCAUCAAGCGCCUCGCUUGUGUUGGGGCCCUGCGGCUGCCGCAGGCUCCUAAAUCCAGUGGCGGGCUCGUCGUGGUACCGAGUGCAGUAAACAUCCUCGCUCAGGGAACCCGACGGGUGCCGGCCGUGAAACCCCCCCUCUUUAAGGUUGACCUCGGAUCAGGUAGGAAUACCCGCUGAACUUAAGCAUAUCAAUAAGCGGAGGGA